GACUUCCUAGUUCUUUCUUUGGAUGUGGACAGCAUUUUCCAUCACGAGGCCUCUGGAGAUGUCUUAGAUCCUCGUAAUGCUGAGAAGGGUUCACUUUAACAAUCUUAGUCAUCGCAUAACGUGGCUGUUAUUGUGUACAAAGUCCUCUUGGUUCUGCUCACUUCGCUCAGCAUCAGACCAUAUAAGUCUUUCCAGGUUUUUCUGAAGUCUGCCUGUUCAUCAUUUCUUAUAGCACAAUAGUAUUCUAUUACAUUUCUAUACCACAACUUGCUCAGCCAUUCGCCAAUUGAUGGGCAUUCUCUCAAUUUCCAAUUCUUUGAUGCAUUUGUCUUGUAACAGUAUCCACCCUAACACCUGGUGAUCAGGCAGGCACUUCACUGGGCCUGUUCUUGGCUACGCCAAGCCUGAAGCUCUGCCCACGAUGGGAUGGACUCCAGCAAGCCCCACCUCUGGACUCGCCUUUGGCCACCCCCCCAACCCCACCCCCCCGCUCCUUCCACAGCCCGCGAGUGCCAUCUUGUGUCGGAACCUCGCUGCGGACAGUCCCACGAACUUCAUUUCCCAGCAUCCUCCUGCUGUUGGGGAAGGUGCAGGCGCAGGCGCAAAGGACACCUGCCUCGUUACCAUAGCAGCCCCGCUGAAGUGCUGGGGAGCAAGCGUUUGGCCGAGGCCGGGCCAGGGCAGCGGGGCCUUCGAGGGGAGGUCGAGUCACGAGCGAGCGAGAGAACAGCCGGCCAGGCUCUCCUCAGAGGCCGGGGAGAAGGAGCCGGAGGCGGCGGCGGCGCAUCCCCGAGCCCACCCGAGGGUCCCUUCCGGGGAUGAGAGGAGACUGUGAAUCGACCGUGCAGUGGAAAGAGCCCUGUCUCUGGAGGCGGAUGCUGGGUUCACAUUUUGACUCUAACGUGUACUGCUGGUAUGACUUUAGGUGAGUUGCUGCAUCUUCUCAGGCCUCAGUUUCCUCUUCUGUAAAAGGGUGUUGGACUUGAUGACCUCUAAGGGCCCUUCCAGCUCUUGGUCUGUGAUGUCACAGCCUGGUAGAUUUCAAGUUCUAGCGAGUUGGAAAUGUGUGUCAUCUGGGACCGGCCCAGCAGAGCAUCCUGUCACAGUAUGGCCCCAGCAAUUGGUGGAAGUACCUUGCCUAGUUCUCAGAGAUCUGUCAUCCUCCUAGAGGGAGGGGUCCAGAUGGGGCAGGACUCACCCUCACUGUGAACGAUGACUUCUAUUUUUUUCAAUAUGUUUCAUCAGGGCAUCAGGUACUUCUCCCCCUUCCCCCAUCCCAUGGCACAGUCAGGUACAGCAGCUGUAAUGCACGUACAUGCACACACCCGCGUACGCACAUAUACACAUAAAGAGAGAGACUGCAUCUCAGGUGAGAGAAGGAAGUGGGUUCCACCCUCAAGGUUGGGUAGAACCAGCUGUGGUCACUGGAAAGCUCCCCUUGGUCCGGGGCAGGCAGGCCGUGCAAGUGGGAG
RNAcentral lists this long non-coding RNA (1472 nucleotides) under Phascolarctos cinereus (koala). RNAcentral's name for it is "lncRNA (ENSPCIG00000036764.1)". The record is from RNAcentral. Lineage: Eukaryota; Metazoa; Chordata; Mammalia; Diprotodontia; Phascolarctidae.